Molecule: transfer RNA, 64 nt
Filed under: Cryptophyllium tibetense
Lineage: Eukaryota; Metazoa; Arthropoda; Insecta; Phasmatodea; Phylliidae
Description: Phyllium tibetense tRNA-Gly
Source: RNAcentral
AUUUAUUUAGUAUAAGAGUACAAUUAACUUCCAAUUAAAGAGACUGUAAAUAACAGAAUAAAUA